Long non-coding RNA from Mytilus trossulus (common blue mussel), 897 nucleotides. RefSeq lists it as uncharacterized. Lineage: Eukaryota; Metazoa; Mollusca; Bivalvia; Mytilida; Mytilidae. The transcript is spliced from 3 exons. The record is from RefSeq and is a predicted model, not a curated record.
AUAGAUCCAUUUCUACCUGUUACACCUGUGAAACGUGUAGUACUGCAUAUUCACUGUUUAUCUUUGAGAUAGAAGAUGAAAGAAUUCACAAUGCUGAGCCUAUUUUCGACUGGAAAGCUGACUCCAGUUUGACCCCUGUCCGUAUAAAACAGAAGUGAAAUGGGAUAACGUAUAGCAAAGUGUUUACUUGAGCAUUCCAAGAAGAGUGUAAAUGUGUUAACUGUGAUAAAUGAUAUAUAAACUUCUAAGAUAUUCCAAAUUUGAUGAGGAUCAUAAAACCGUUUUUGCUAUUUAUUAUGGUAACAUCGGUUACGUUUUGUGAAAGUAAAAAACAUAAUAAAGGAUCUUUCCAUCUCGACGUGAAGGAUAGUCUUGAAAACGUCGAUCCCAAAAAUCAAAAUGCCAUGAUUUGGGAGAACUGUACAGAAAAAUCCGAAAGUUUAUUUACUCUUGAAAAAGAAAGAUCCCAAAUUGAAUGCACAGAGAAUGGUACGAUCAAAGUAGAAUUGACUAUGACCGUCCUAGUGAAAGACAAUCCCAGUAAUGUGCUACUGUGUGUUAAUCAUCUCAAUCAAGAAAAACAAAGAACAGAACAGGAAUGUCAACAAUUUAAAUACCUGAAAUCUCAAGCCGGUUAUGUGACUAGCAUUCAAUUGAAUUGUAUAUAUAAUGUCAUAGAAGGUGACAAGAUCCACGUAACAGUAGUAGGGACAAACAUGAUCAAUAGAUACAGGGUUUUCAACAGACUUCUUAUGUAUUAUAUAUAAUGUCACAUAAAACCAUUGACAAUGCAAAACAUAAAGUGAUAUCGUCUUAUUUGUACACAAAUCAGGUAAUUUCUUAUCUCGUUUAACUUGUGUCAAAUGUUGAGCCCCCGGAACCCGUUUUAGCUUUCUA